This 23-nucleotide unclassified non-coding RNA is filed under the name Mus musculus (house mouse). RNAcentral's name for it is "oocyte_clustered_small_RNA8194". Lineage: Eukaryota; Metazoa; Chordata; Mammalia; Rodentia; Muridae. The record is from RNAcentral.
GGUGAUGAUCCUGAAAUGGUCUG